Small nuclear RNA from Octopus sinensis (East Asian common octopus), 105 nucleotides. The record is from RefSeq and is a predicted model, not a curated record. NCBI's taxonomy places the organism in Eukaryota, Metazoa, Mollusca, Cephalopoda, Octopoda, Octopodidae.
GUUCGCUUCGCCAAUACAUAUUCUAAAGUUGUUGCUAUACAGAGAACAUUAGAACGGCCGCAGUGUAAGGGUGACUUGGAAAUUCGUGAAGUGUUCCAUAUCUAU